UAGAAAACCUAGAGAGCCUAGACCUUUCAGUCGUUUUUAUCAUAGACCCCUCCCCAGAACUUGAUCUUCUUCAGGAGACACCCAUCGAAGACCCGUAUCUUUAUAUUCCUCCCCUUCCACACACCCUAUACCAUGAGAAUGAAAAUCAGCCGCAAUAGACCAUUUUAGACAUAGCCAUUGACACACAAAAUCGCCGGAACAGCCUCAGACCUUCACAAAAUCCGGCGAAUCAGUGUUUUGCAAUGAACUUUUCGAGUCAGCCGAGGUUGAUUCUAGUCAAGAUUUGUAGAUAAGAUAAUGGAAUCACGCUGGAAAUGGUAAGUCUCCCCUGAAAUGGGGACUAACAGUGGUGAAACCUUCAGAUCUGGCAUCUCUUUUGAAACCUUCAGAUCUGGUCUUCAUCUCCAUCGUCUUCUGUCUUCUUUUAAAAAAAUCCAGCGGGUUUUUUUCGUUUCCAUUGUUGAACCGAGUUAUUGAAGAUUUGAGGUUGAUCGAUUGGGGUGAUGUUCGAAGUCGUUUUGUUCAACUUCCGUCCGUCUUCAAUUUCGGUGUUAGUAGUUGGCUUACGUUGCUUGUGUAAUUGCUGAAAAUUUCCGUUAAUUGAAGUUUUAAUUUCAGGUCUGUUUUUCCUUUUCCUUUUUACUUGCUUUGAUAUUGAAGUUUAAUGUGACAGAGUGCCCUGUUUAUUUGGUGAAAGAUGUUCUGAAUUACUGAUUCGUUUUCUCGGCCAGUUGAUUGUUGGUUUUGUUCGUUUAUGCUUCUUGUGUUAACUCUUGGAGUUUGAAUUAAUCGUAGCUAGAAAUUGCCUCAAUUAGCAUGUCUUCUUUGUAUAUUUUUUUUGCUAUUGACUUCUCCUUUACUGUAGUUUAAUUAGUUUAGAUCACAAAUCGAUAGUGCAGAACAAUGUUCGAAUUUAAAAGAAACAGAGUCAAAGUUUCAUACUCGCUGUCUUAUUUUACUGCUUUAGCUAAACUCUUGGAAGAAGUGGACAAUUCCAAGUGUUGUCUUGGACUUAGCUUUAUUCAGUUGAGAGCAUUUCUUUUAGUUCGAAUACAGCUCAUAGAAUAUGUGUAGGACGACUUCCUUUGUAUCUUUUGAAAUUGCUAGAAAUGGGUAGUAGAUGUAUUUAAAGAUCUAGUACUUUGAAACAUGUAUUUAACUAUCUGAGCCAAUUACCUUCCCUGAUUCCUUCUUUUAACACUAAAACAAUGUUUCUUCAUAAUAAAUGGGUAGAAGGAUAUUAACAGUAUGUUCUCCUUGUUUUAGUCUUUUAGUAAUUCUAAAGGUCCUUCACAUUAUGCCUUGUUUAAGAGUGUCACUAGACCUUAAUCCUGUUAUGACUUCACGAAUGUGUGCCUUAAGUUAUAGUUAUCUCUCUUUGGUUGAAAAUCUAGUGUACGCACACUAUUUUGCCAUGAAAGUCGAGAAGAUGAGCAUGACAACAUGAAAUAUGAGAUUCCUUUUGUAACAGUUCUUCAAAUAGGGUGUAAAUUAUAAGUAUUUCGUCAAUUGUGCUUAGCAAAUAGACAAAACAAAUGUCUCAAACUUAGGCGUGCUCUUAAUUAAUUUAUUAUCGCGAUUACGUACACGUUCGCGUGACAUGAUUACGGUUUCUAAGAUAAAUAUUCGUAGCUUACUUUAGGUACGUUCAAUAUACCAUCGUGGUUAUAUACACGUUCGUAUAACAUAAUUACGAUCUAAAAAAUAAAAUCAGAGUAUGCGUUUACGCAACUUUGACUAAAUUUUCUCAAUAAUAAUAAAGUGUGAUUAACUGUGGACACGUACGCGUGACAUGAUUCUUGACGCGCCAAACAAACAGGUACACGUGCGCGUGACCUGUUUUAAGAUAAUUUCUUAAUUAAAAGAGGUGAAUGCACAUAGGUUCUAAAAUAAGUAAUUAGACAAUUUAAUUAAGCCAAGUAUGAUCAAAGUGACCGUGCUAAAAUCACGAAACUCGGGAAUGCCUAACACCUUCUCUCGGGUUAACAGAAUUCCUUACCCGAAUUUUUGUGUUCGCAGACCAUAAUUAGAGUCAUCUUCCUCGAUUCGAGAUUUUAAACCGGUGACUUAGGACACCAUAAAUUAUCUCAAGUGGCGACUCUGAAUUUAAUAUGAAUAAUAUCAUUUUGAUUGUCAUUUAAAUUGGAAAAACUCCUUUAUAUCCCUUUCGGGGUAAGAAAAAAGGAGGUGUGACAGCUCCGGCGACUCUACUGGGGAAAAGAACCCAGAACUUCUGGUUCAGGGUUCAGAAUUCGAGCUUGUUAAUAUGAUUUUUACUUGGCUUUAUUUAUUGUUGAUAUUACUGUUUUUAUGGACCUAAUGUGCUAAUUGCCUUUUAUUUACCGCUUUGACAUUAUUUGAAUUGUAUUAAACUGUCUUCCUAUCCCUCCCACCCGAGUUUUCUAAAAAAUGGUGCACAUAUUCGCGUGGACCACUUUUCUGUUAGAAGUUAUACCAAAUAGAGUGAGGUUGGGCCAGCAACAACGCCGGGUAGACUUUCGUGCUCCCGGUACGUUGCCCCCAUCUCGGCUCGAGCUGUCCGCUCGGGUAAGCCAGGUCUAGAACACAACCCCAGGUUUCAACCUAGAAUAACAUAACCUCAUGCCGAAUCCCUAGUAGGAAUGUUUGUUUGCAUCACGUGCAUUUGAUUUAGGGACUCAACACAGGGGUUGAGUCCGUCUAGGACAAGUGUACCAAAAAUAAAGACCAUCUUGAUGCAUCCUAUGUGCUACAUGUUGCAAUCUUCAAGGGUAAAAAGGGUCAUUUGGCGGACCAAAGAUGGCUGAGGGUUAAUGAGAAAGAAAAGAGGGUGAAGUGUAAAAAUAAAGCAAGUAGGACCCAGUUAUGUUUUUCUUUCACAUUUUUUUAAGAAAAAGGCCAACAAAAAAAUAUAUAUGAAAAAUCCAUAAAGAUCACUUUCCCAUCAUUUUCAAAAAAUAAAAAAAAUCAAAAAAAGGGAAAAGAAAAUCCAAAAAGAGUUUACACGUUUCAUCAUUUUUCAAAAAAAAAAAGAUAAAAAUAUAUUUUCUCUAAAUUAGUUGUUUCUUUUAAUUCGUGCCCGUAUCCAAUCUUCCCUAACUACGCGAACCUGAUUCUCGUCUCUUGGGGCGGGAUACGUAGGCAACCCACAUCGGGUCCGGUCUUCCUAGUGAGUCUUAGGUUCUUGGCUUCGAUGGUUGUAGCCAAUUCUUGCAUGUCUAGCCACUUUUGGCCAUAUCGGUCAUUUUGCAAAAUAUGGCUAUUUUUGCAAAAGUGGUUUGUUUAAUUUUCUGAAGAGUCUUGAAUAAACAAUUAGGUGUCUCUUUAAUUUAAGGCACAUCCUUGUCGAAUUUGCAUGUCUAGCCACUUUUGGCCACAUCGGCCGUCCUUGCAAAAUGGGAUCAUUUUCGCAAAAGUGGUUCAAUGACCCAUGUCUUAGAGUUCUAAGUCCACAACAAGAUGUUCUCUCUGUUUAAGGUCCAUUGUGUUGAAUUUGCAUGCUUAGCCAUUUUUUUGUCUACAUAGGUCAUUUCUACAAAAUGGGUCAUUUAUGCAAAGUAAUUUUUCCAUGUCUUAGAGGUCACUUUUCUUGAGUUUGCACUUCUAGCCACCUUUUGGCCAUAUAAGCCAUUUUGCAAAAAUAGCCUCAAUCAUAUCUUGCAUGUGUCCAAUAUGAAGUCUUAUUGUCUCACAUAGUGUUCUAAGUCUUUAACUCUAUUUGGUCUUAUUUUUCUCAUAUAGGUGUGAAUCUACUUAACAGAGCUUGAGCAUGACAUACGCCCAAGGACCUUCUUAGUCAGGAC
This 3782-nucleotide long non-coding RNA is filed under the name Nicotiana tabacum (common tobacco). RNAcentral's name for it is "long non-coding RNA (NTAB_LNC011720)". The record is from RNAcentral. Lineage: Eukaryota; Viridiplantae; Streptophyta; Magnoliopsida; Solanales; Solanaceae.